ACGUCCGUGAGGCUUCCCGGGCCCGGCGGAGUCUGUGGGGCACUGGGGCGCUGGGCGGUGCGCAGGCUGGAGCGCUGGGUCGUGAGGGAUAAACUGGGAAACCCGGCGUGGGUCCAAGCGCCUUCUCUGAGGCAUCCGGCGCGGCCCGGACGUGUUUCCACCUGAAACCACAGCCUCCAGGCCGGCCCUUAACAGGGCUGUAUAAAUAGUCUAGCGAGGGUCCGUGGGCCCCGUCCCUGUCCCGGGGUCUUGACUGGGAAGGCGCUCGGGCCCCGCGGGGAGUGUCUAGGGAGUGCACCCUCGGCGGGCGCGCGCCUCUGCCUCCCUGGGCAGCGCCUGCCCCCUCCUGCCCAGUCGGCUUAGCAAAGUCGGCCAAAACUAAAACAAACUUGGAACGCUAAUAGACACUGUUAUUGCCCACUCUGAACUCACCAACUGAGAGGGAAUGAGAUGGUUUGUGCUGUGAAUAGACUACAGUUGUGCUCUGUUGUAAAUCCCCUCAUCCUGUAGCAGCUGAGCAAGGUCUGAGGCAGGAGGAACCUUCAAGCAGGUCAUGGCUUGCAGGCUCAACUCUCCCUGGCAGUGGCAAGGGCAAGGGUCAGGACCAGUGACUGAAGCAACAAACUGCUAGAUUACUACAGCUCAAGCCAAUGCACAAAGCCACUGCACCACGAGAGGAAACUCUUCCAUUUCCAAGUGUGUUCAUUUCUUCAGAUCGAGGAAAACAGUUAAGGCAGUUUGCUGACAUUUUCUUUCACCAAGUCAUCAGGAGUCACAUAGACAUACAGCACUUAAGAAGUGACUAUGACUGAAGGCACAUCUCCUUUAUUUAAUCCCAACCUUUGUCUGAUACACAAACUCUUUCCUAGUUCUCCCCAGCACCACCACUGCAUCUCCAAGUGGAGACAAAGAAUUAUUUCAUUUGCAUGUGGUUUUUCUCAUCAAAAAAUAUCAUUAACAUGCGACAGCCGCAAACCAAAGAAACCAGAAGAGGACUUUGUGCUUGGUCUCACUGAGAGCUUUCCCUAAUAGACCAGACCCUAUCAUUGUUCUAGAUUUGUCUCUUGUGAGUUACAGGAAUACAAACAUUUUGUAGCUUUCUGUUUUUUGUUUUCUUAAUGGCUUGAUGAGCUACAUGUUUCUCUGAAUGCACUGAUUUAAAUUCAUACAA
Cebus imitator (Panamanian white-faced capuchin) is the source of this 1171-nucleotide long non-coding RNA. RefSeq lists it as uncharacterized. The transcript has 3 exons. NCBI's taxonomy places the organism in Eukaryota, Metazoa, Chordata, Mammalia, Primates, Cebidae. The record is from RefSeq and is a predicted model, not a curated record.